Molecule: long non-coding RNA, 600 nt
Filed under: Lepidothrix coronata (blue-crowned manakin)
Lineage: Eukaryota; Metazoa; Chordata; Aves; Passeriformes; Pipridae
Description: lncRNA (ENSLCOG00000003115.1)
Source: RNAcentral
GAAAUAUCUCCCACUUCUCACUCUCUCUUUCAGGUCCAUUUUAGUAACCAAAAUAACUGAGAAAGAAUAUUGACAGGAAAUAACCAGAUAAAAACAGAAAAUACAACAAGAUGUAAUGCAAAAAAGGGAGUAUAAGUCAAAAAAACUGAAAGAAGUUUUAGUGUAUAAUUUUUGUUCUCCUUAGCUGCUGAACUUUAUCUAUUUGGAUUUGGCUUGCUUGAUGCUGGACGAUUAAUGAAGGAAGCCCUAACUGGACAAAGAAAAGGAUUGACAAUAAGAUGUGGAUGUUCAUCUUUAAUGAACUCUAGUCACCAAGUGAAAAUCAGCUAAUUUUGAUGAUGCAACUGACCACCUUCUCAGCAAUAGGUGAAUAUUUACUCCUUCACAAAAUGAGCAAACCUAUUAACUGUGAACAUGGAAAGAUGAAGCAAGCAAAAAACAAAGAGAAGUGUGAAGAGUUUCGCUGCUGUAUCAUCUGUGACACUGUAUCAGCUCCUAGUUUUAGGAUCAUGAGUAAAUAGGUAUAUAAGAGAUACGCUGUUAUUCUACAAAGAAGGGUUAUUUCAAAGAAAUAAAGGAAAAAAAUUAAAAGGGCUGUCA